UACGACUACAUAUCAGGCAUAUCAAUAAGCGGAGGAAAAGAAACUAACAAGGAUUCCCUUAGUAACGGCGAGUGAAGCGGGUAAGAGCUCAAAUUUGAAAUCUUCAAGGUUCUACCUUGACGAAUUGUAGUUUAAAGAAGUGUUUUCUGUUAGAUGAGUAGCAAAAGUUCCUUGGAAUGGGACAUCAGUAGAGGGUGAGAAUCCCGUAUUUGGUUAUUCAUUCUAGCUUUGUGAUACACUUUCAAAGAGUCGGAUUGUUUGGGAAUGCAGUCCAAAAUGGGUGGUAAAUUUCAUCUAAAGCUAAAUAUUGGCGAGAGACCGAUAGCGAACAAGUACCGUGAGGGAAAGAUGAAAAGAACUUUGAAAAGAGAGUUAAACAGUACGUGAAAUUGUCAAAAGGGAAGCGUUUGACACCAGUGUUGUUUUUCCGAAAAUCAAUUACGAAUGGCUUGAUUUUGUGUUGUAUUGACCUUAUCAGCUUUCUUCACUUUUUUCGAGUCUUUCUUAAUGCACUUUUUGGUUAACAAGUCAACAUCAAUUUCUUUUGUUGUAAAAGAGUAUUCGGAAGGUGGCUUUCUUUUCGGAGAAAGUGUUUAUAGCCCUAUACUUCUACAAUCGGAGAGAUUGAGGUCUGCAACGUAGAUCCUUCGGGGUUAGAUACACUUGUGCUAAGUUGUAGCUUUUCAUAGACAACUUGUUGACUAUGUUUAGUCAUGCGGCUUACUCGCUUGUGCUAUUUUACCUACGCUUAGGAUGUUGAGUAGCGACAUACGCAC
Molecule: ribosomal RNA, 776 nt
Filed under: uncultured Neocallimastigales
Lineage: Eukaryota; Fungi; Neocallimastigomycota; Neocallimastigomycetes; Neocallimastigales
Description: partial large subunit ribosomal RNA
Rfam family: Eukaryotic large subunit ribosomal RNA
Source: RNAcentral